RNAcentral lists this ribosomal RNA (301 nucleotides) under uncultured bacterium. RNAcentral describes it as "partial 16S ribosomal RNA". It matches the Rfam family "Bacterial small subunit ribosomal RNA", at positions 509 to 807 of the family's 1533-position model. The record is from RNAcentral.
CAGUAGCCACGGUAAUACAGAGGGUGCGAGCGUUAAUCGGAUUUACUGGGUGUAAAGCGUGCGUAGGCGGCUUCUUAAGUCGGAUGUGAAAUCCCUGAGCUUAACUUAGGAAUUGCAUUCGAUACUGGGAAGCUAGAGUAUGGGAGAGGAUGGUAGAAUUCCAGGUGUAGCGGUGAAAUGCGUAGAGAUCUGGAGGAAUACCGAUGGCGAAGGCAGCCAUCUGGCCUAAUACUGACGCUGAGGUACGAAAGCAUGGGGAGCAAACAGGAUUAGAUACCCCUGUAGUCCCUGUCUCUUAUAC